Molecule: long non-coding RNA, 347 nt
Filed under: Gallus gallus (chicken)
Lineage: Eukaryota; Metazoa; Chordata; Aves; Galliformes; Phasianidae
Source: RNAcentral
GGAAAGCAAAUGGGAUCCUGGGCUCCAGCAGCAGAGGGGUGGCCAGCAGGGACAGGGAGGUGAUUGUCCCUCUCUGCUCUGCCCUCGUGAGGCCCCAUCUGCAGUACUGCGUCCAGGCCUGGGGACCCCAACGCAAGAAAGACAGGGAGCUGUUGGAGAGGGUCCAGAGGAGGCCACAAAGAUGCUCAGAGGGCUGCAGCACCUCCCCUACAAAGACAGGCUGAGGGAGCUGGGCUUGUUGAGCCUGGAGAAGAGAAGGCUGCGGGGUGAGCUCAUUGCAGCCUUCCAGGACCUAAAGGGAGCCUCCAAACAGGAGGGGAGGCAACUCUUUGAGAGGGGAGAUAAGA